GAGCGGCGGACGGGUGAGUAAUACUUAGGAAUCUACCUAGUAGUGGGGGAUAGCUCGGGGAAACUCGAAUUAAUACCGCAUACGACCUACGGGAGAAAGGGGGCAACUUGUUGCUCUCGCUAUUAGAUGAGCCUAAGUCGGAUUAGCUAGAUGGUGGGGUAAAGGCCUACCAUGGCGACGAUCUGUAGCUGGUCUGAGAGGAUGAUCAGCCACACCGGGACUGAGACACGGCCCGGACUCCUACGGGAGGCAGCAGUGGGGAAUAUUGGACAAUGGGGGCAACCCUGAUCCAGCCAUGCCGCGUGUGUGAAGAAGGCCUUUUGGUUGUAAAGCACUUUAAGCAGUGAAGAAGACUCUAUGGUUAAUACCCAUAGACGAUGACAUUAGCUGCAGAAUAAGCACCGGCUAACUCUGUGCCAGCAGCCGCGGUAAUACAGAGGGUGCAAGCGUUAAUCGGAAUUACUGGGCGUAAAGCGAGCGUAGGUGGCUUGAUAAGUCAGAUGUGAAAUCCCCGGGCUUAACCUGGGAACUGCAUCUGAUACUGUUAGGCUAGAGUAGGUGAGAGGAAGGUAGAAUUCCAGGUGUAGCGGUGAAA
Molecule: ribosomal RNA, 595 nt
Filed under: Adelie penguin guano bacterium 253
Lineage: Bacteria
Description: bacterial SSU rRNA
Rfam family: Bacterial small subunit ribosomal RNA
Source: RNAcentral